GUCUUCAUGGUGUAGUGGUCAGCACGCUGGAUGCAUAACCCAGAGGUCCAUGGUUCGAUUCCUGGAGAAGGCA
Molecule: transfer RNA, 73 nt
Filed under: Stegodyphus mimosarum
Lineage: Eukaryota; Metazoa; Arthropoda; Arachnida; Araneae; Eresidae
Rfam family: tRNA
About the family: Transfer RNA (tRNA) molecules are approximately 80 nucleotides in length. Their secondary structure includes four short double-helical elements and three loops (D, anti-codon, and T loops). Further hydrogen bonds mediate the characteristic L-shaped molecular structure. tRNAs have two regions of fundamental functional importance: the anti-codon, which is responsible for specific mRNA codon recognition, and the 3' end, to which the tRNAs corresponding amino acid is attached (by aminoacyl-tRNA synthetases). tRNAs cope with the degeneracy of the genetic code in two manners: having more than one tRNA (with a specific anti-codon) for a particular amino acid; and 'wobble' base-pairing, i.e. permitting non-standard base-pairing at the 3rd anti-codon position.
Source: Rfam by way of RNAcentral